ACCACAAGGCGCACUCGUUAUUAGAGGCCAGAGAGGGACAGAUGCUUGGUGGGAAUUGUAGUGCGAAGCCAAGAGGCUCCCCCCUCCCCCCCUUCCCCCCUGCCCCAAGUGCUUAGACCGAAGGCGGCGCUGCGCCACCGGGGGACGCCCUGGGCUCAUUUCUCUGACAGUCCUUCUACUAGCUUCAUUUUCCUUGUCAACAAAAUGGGGAUAAUCACAUCUACCUUGGAAUUGUUAUGAGGAUCACAUGGAGAAACACAAGUGAAAUGCUCUGUAGAUAUAAAGCAUGUAUCAACGAUG
This 300-nucleotide long non-coding RNA is filed under the name Homo sapiens (human). Its description in RNAcentral is "novel transcript , antisense to IKZF4". Lineage: Eukaryota; Metazoa; Chordata; Mammalia; Primates; Hominidae. The record is from RNAcentral.